RNAcentral lists this ribosomal RNA (253 nucleotides) under uncultured bacterium. RNAcentral's name for it is "partial 16S ribosomal RNA". It matches the Rfam family "Bacterial small subunit ribosomal RNA", at positions 524 to 776 of the family's 1533-position model. The record is from RNAcentral.
UACAGAGGGUGCAAGCGUUGCUCGGAAUUAUUGGGCGUAAAGGGUAGGUAGGUGGUCUCGUUUGUCGGGGGUGAAAGCCCGGGGCUUAACUCCGGAAGUGCCUUCGAAACGGCGAGACUAGAGUCUUGGAGAGGAUUGCGGAAUUCCCGGUGUAGCGGUGAAAUGCGUAGAGAUCGGGAGGAAUACCUGUGGCGAAGGCGGCCAGCUGGGCCAGAUCCGACACUGAGGCGCGAAAGCGUGGGGAGCAAACAGG